GUGCCAGCCGCCGCGGUAAUACAGAGGUCCCAAGCGUUGUUCGGAUUCACUGGGCGUAAAGGGUGCGUAGGUGGUGGAGUAAGUUUGAUGUGAAAGCCCCGGGCCCAACCCGGGAAUGGCAUUGAAUACUAUUCCGCUAGAGGGUCGGAAGGGGGACUGGAAUUCUCGGUGUAGCAGUGAAAUGCGUAGAUAUCGAGAGGAACACCAGUGGCGAAGGCGAGUCCCUGGACGACUCCUGACACUGAGGCACGAAAGCUAGGGGAGCAAACAGGAUUAGAAACCCCCGUAGUCC
This 292-nucleotide ribosomal RNA is filed under the name uncultured bacterium. RNAcentral describes it as "partial 16S ribosomal RNA". It matches the Rfam family "Bacterial small subunit ribosomal RNA", at positions 505 to 796 of the family's 1533-position model. The record is from RNAcentral.